RNAcentral lists this ribosomal RNA (303 nucleotides) under uncultured bacterium. RNAcentral's name for it is "bacterial SSU rRNA". It matches the Rfam family "Bacterial small subunit ribosomal RNA", at positions 355 to 650 of the family's 1533-position model. The record is from RNAcentral.
UGGGGAAUAUUGCACAAUGGGCGCAAGCCUGAUGCAGCCAUGCCGCGUGUAUGAAGAAGGCCUUCGGGUUGUAAAGUACUUUCAGCGGGGAGGAAGGGAGUAAAGUUAAUACCUUUGCUCAUUGACGUUACCCGCAGAAGAAGCACCGGCUAACUCCGUGCCAGCAGCCGCGGUAAUACGGAGGGUGCAAGCGUUAAUCGGAAUUACUGGGCGUAAAGCGCACGCAGGCGGUUUGUUAAGUCAGAUGUGAAAUCCCCGGGCUCAACCUGGGAACUGCAUCUGAUACUGGCAAGCUUGAGUCUC